CAUGCAAGUGGAGCGACGAACCGGGGCUUGCCCCGGGGCAGAGCCGCGAACGGGUGAGUAACACGUGGGUAACCCACCCCGAUGAUUGGGACAACCCGGGGAAACUCGGGCUAAUACCAAAUGUGCCCGAAGACCAUGAGGUCUCCGAGUAAAGAUAGCUUCGGCCUUCGCAUCGGGACGGGCCCGCGGCCCAUUAGCUUGUUGGUGAGGUAACGGCUCACCAAGGCGACGAUGGGUAGCUGGUCUGAGAGGACGAUCAGCCACACUGGGACUGAGACACGGCCCAGACUCCUACGGGAGGCAGCAGUGGGGAAUCUUGCGCAAUGCGCGAAAGCGUGACGCAGCAACGCCGCGUGGAGGAAGACGGUCUUCGGAUUGUAAACUCCUUUCAGUUGGGACGAAGCUCAACGGGUUAAUAGCUCGGUGGAGUGACGGUACCUUCAGAAGAAGCCCCGGCUAACUACGUGCCAGCAGCCGCGGUAAUACGUAGGGGGCUAGCGUUGUCCGGAAUCAUUGGGCGUAAAGAGCGUGUAGGCGGUCCGGUAAGUCCGCUGUGAAAGUCGGGGGCUCAACCCUCGAAUGCCGGUGGAUACUGUCGGGCUAGAGUGCGGAAGAGGCGAGUGGAAUUCCUGGUGUAGCGGUGAAAUGCGCAGAUAUCAGGAGGAACACCUAUUGCGAAGGCAGCUCGCUGGGACGUAACUGACGCUGAGACGCGAAAGCGUGGGAAGCAAACAGGAUUAGAUACCCUGGUAGUCCACGCUGUAAACGAUGGGCACUAGGUGUGGGGGGUGUCGACUCCCUCCGUGCCGAAGCUAACGCAUUAAGUGCCCCGCCUGGGGAGUACGGCCGCAAGGCUAAAACUCAAAGGAAUUGACGGGGACCCGCACAAGCAGCGGAGCAUGUGGUUUAAUUCGACGCAACGCGAAGAACC
This 931-nucleotide ribosomal RNA is filed under the name uncultured bacterium. RNAcentral's name for it is "bacterial SSU rRNA". It matches the Rfam family "Bacterial small subunit ribosomal RNA", at positions 54 to 970 of the family's 1533-position model. The record is from RNAcentral.